Long non-coding RNA from Equus caballus (horse), 1663 nucleotides. Lineage: Eukaryota; Metazoa; Chordata; Mammalia; Perissodactyla; Equidae. The record is from Ensembl.
CAGAAAAAGAAGUAGCUAGUCAAAGUCAACUUGUGAAAAGUCUAAUGGGGACCACGCCAUUCUAUGAGCGAUCUGUGUUACCAUGUGGAAAUUGAGCGGGACUGGAAUUCCCCAAACUGAACUUUUGAACUAAGACAUCUUUUAUUCCUAGGCAUACCCUCAAGAGAUGUAAAAACAAGUCCACAUAAGAGCCCCUCAAAGAUAUGAGGAUCCUCUUGACUAGAAUUGAAUGAGAGAACGAACACAUAGUUAAUUUUGAAUUUCAGAUAAACAACAAAUAACUUCCAUGAUAUAGGUAUACCCCAAAUAUUGUGUAAGACAUAUGUAUACUAAAAAUUAUUAUUUAUAUAAUGUGAUGUCUUGUAAUUUUAUUUGCUAAAUCUGGCAGCUGUAUAUUGAUAGGACCCCAAACCCAUCUGUGGUUAGGAGUCUGGGAUUCUAAGAGCUCUAAUUAUAGGAAGCUGAGUCCAGAAGAUUCUGAGUUUGAUCUGCCAAGAGAGUCAAGGUUUUUUCUAGACACUGCAUGGAACUCUUCACCCUAGAAGAAAGCGGAGUGUGUGGGCCCUGGUAUCUCUUAAGAAGCAGAAAUCUAUUGCUUUGAGUUAGAGGAGAUCACUUUCUUCAGUCUGGUUUGAAGCAACCUCUCUCUGAGAAUUAUUUAUGGUGCUUCCUUAAAAUGCAUUCAUUGUUCACUAAAACAACAAAAGCCUGCUCUUCGUGCCCAGCUCCACUUCUGCUGGCAGAUCUUCCCUCUCAUUCACGUCUUCAUCAGACUUGACUAUGUCCUAGGCCUGUUCCAAGAGCUGGCCUGAUUUCAGUGGCACAAUGAUACAACUUGAAGGGUGACAUCAGCAAGACGGUGGAAUAGAAAGCUCCAUACCUUCCUUCCUCCUACAGAGACACUGACUUAACAACAAUACGUGGACCAACUUCCUUUAAGAGAAAUCCAGAAGCCAGUUAAGAGGCUCCUGCACCCCAGAUCAGCAUGAGACCACCUUCACGGAAGCUGGUAGGGAAAUUUGUGGCCCCUUCUCAUCAUACUUCCUUCCCCUGGCACAGUGCCAUGCAUUCAGGAGGGAACUCCCAGCUCCUGGCUUCUGCCUGGGGAUGGAAAGAGAAGACUAGACCAUAUGUUUAUCAUUCUGAAGUUUCUUGGUGGGGACUGUGAAGGUUCCGAGGAAGGAAAGGAAAAAGGUGUUAUGGUUGCAUCUAGGGCAGCUUAGCAGUGAAGGUCAAGUCAGGUUGAAGGCAAAGAGGAUGGAGAGAAUACUUCAGUAGUAUAUCAUUCACCAACUACACCACAUACCCUGCGCUCUGUGUCUUUGCUCAUGCUGUUCCCUCUGUCAGGAGUGAUUUUCCCUCUUUUCUGCCUCACUGAUUACUGAAAGGGCCAGGUUAAAUGUCACCUUUUCCAUAAAACCUUCCAUGCAUGAUGAUCUAAAGCAUCCUUAACUGGUUCCCCUUUCCCUAUAAGCUUGGGUAUUUUUCACAUCUUGACUAUAUAUGCUGUUAACUUUUUUAGAUUAUAUAGUAUUUAAUGUAUUGUGCUUGUUUCAUGGUUUCCCUUUUUUCCCAAACUUGCACGUGCCAAGAUUGAAAGCAAUCUUCCCACUUGCAAUUUAGAACACCAGCCAUGCUCCCCCACCCCAGCUCCCAGAAUGUC